RNAcentral lists this ribosomal RNA (503 nucleotides) under uncultured bacterium. RNAcentral's name for it is "bacterial SSU rRNA". It matches the Rfam family "Bacterial small subunit ribosomal RNA", at positions 141 to 639 of the family's 1533-position model. The record is from RNAcentral.
GGACAACGUUUCGAAAGGAACGCUAAUACCGCAUACGUCCUACGGGAGAAAGCAGGGGACCUUCGGGCCUUGCGCUAUCAGAUGAGCCUAGGUCGGAUUAGCUAGUAGGUGAGGUAAAGGCUCACCUAGGCGACGAUCCGUAACUGGUCUGAGAGGAUGAUCAGUCACACUGGAACUGAGACACGGUCCAGACUCCUACGGGAGGCAGCAGUGGGGAAUAUUGGACAAUGGGCGAAAGCCUGAUCCAGCCAUGCCGCGUGUGUGAAGAAGGUCUUCGGAUUGUAAAGCACUUUAAGUUGGGAGGAAGGGCAGUAAGUUAAUACCUUGCUGUNUUGACGUUACCAACAGAAUAAGCACCGGCUAACUUCGUGCCAGCAGCCGCGGUAAUACGAAGGGUGCAAGCGUUAAUCGGAAUUACUGGGCGUAAAGCGCGCGUAGGUGGUUCAGCAAGUUGGAGGUGAAAUCCCCGGGCUCAACCUGGGAACUGCCUCCAAAACUACUGA